UACGGAGGGGGGCUAGCGUUGUUCGGAAUUACUGGGCGUAAAGCGCACGUAGGCGGUUUUGUAAGUUAGAGGUGAAAGCCUGGGGCUCAACUCCAGAAUUGCCUUUAAGACUGCAUCACUUUGAACACGGGAGAGGUGAGUGGAAUUCCGAGUGUAGAGGUGAAAUUCGUAGAUAUUCGGAAGAACACCAGUGGCGAAAGGCGG
This 204-nucleotide ribosomal RNA is filed under the name uncultured bacterium. RNAcentral describes it as "partial 16S ribosomal RNA". It matches the Rfam family "Bacterial small subunit ribosomal RNA", at positions 524 to 724 of the family's 1533-position model. The record is from RNAcentral.